UCUCUAGUAGAAGGAUAAAAGAAUUAAGAAUGGCAGUCAAUAUGUAGGAUGGUGUGUCAUGAUGACACAUUUUUCCUUACAACCAUCUUUAACCUGGUUCUCUCCAGAGGCACCUGUGUGAUCAUUUCUGUUUCGAGCAAUCUACUUCUGAGGGUCUUCAUCAUAUAGGGUAUACCACUGUAAUGCGUAUUUCCAGUGUCUUGGGAAGUGGAGGACAAGAAAACAACAACAAACACUCAGAUGUGGCCAGUUCUCAUCCUUGUCCAACACCCUCCAGAGGCUCCUGAAGACAUGAGGACUUUCCUGAGCUUCUCUUAGACCGUUUCCUUAGCAGCCACCCCAUUGCUCUGGCCCCACCAGAUCCUCUAGCAAUGCUGAUUUGUGACUCUCCGUGCACAUCCCCGCGGUCAUUGUUUCCAUCACUUCCUGUCAUCCCGAUGCUGGUGGAGGGAUUCUGCCGGCUGGUUCUGUCAGGCAGGAUAGGUAGCUGCUAGGGCAGGAGGAAGGGAAGCAGGGUGGAGAGGGCAGCUUAUCUCACUCCUGAACAAGAAGGUCAUUGGUCAAUAAAAAUCACCAGAUAGUGUCAUAAAUUCUGGGAAAAACUACAACAGUGUAAAAGGGGGACUUUGAAAUCUAAUCUGUUGCUCAAGAUAUCCAGUGGGGGAAAGUAUAAAACCCUUGAACCCCCACCGACUAGCUGAGUCGUCUGCUUGUGCCUUAUGCCAACUGUAUUCUUACUAAAUUCAGUUGCUUUGCCUCCUUAA
Molecule: long non-coding RNA, 764 nt
Organism: Pipistrellus kuhlii (Kuhl's pipistrelle)
Lineage: Eukaryota; Metazoa; Chordata; Mammalia; Chiroptera; Vespertilionidae
Exons: 2
Source: RefSeq, a predicted model, not a curated record